AGUAACACGUGGGUAACCUGCCCAAGAGAUCGGGAUAACACCUGGAAACAGAUGCUAAUACCGGAUAAAAGCUACUUUCGCAUGAAAGAAGUUUAAAAGGCGGCGUAAGCUGUCGCUAAAGGAUGGACCUGCGAUGCAUUAGCUAGUUGGUAAGGUAACGGCUUACCAAGGCGAUGAUGCAUAGCCGAGUUGAGAGACUGAUCGGCCACAUUGGGACUGAGACACGGCCCAAACUCCUACGGGAGGCAGCAGGC
This 254-nucleotide ribosomal RNA is filed under the name uncultured Lactobacillus sp. RNAcentral's name for it is "partial 16S ribosomal RNA". It matches the Rfam family "Bacterial small subunit ribosomal RNA", at positions 109 to 354 of the family's 1533-position model. The record is from RNAcentral. Lineage: Bacteria; Bacillati; Bacillota; Bacilli; Lactobacillales; Lactobacillaceae.